GACGAACGCUGGCGGCGUGCCUAAUACAUGCAAGUCGAACGAGAGCGACCGGUGCUUGCACUGGUCAAUCUAGUGGCGAACGGGUGAGUAACACGUGGGUAACCUGCUCAUCAGAGGGGGAUAACAUCCGGAAACGGAUGCUAAAACCGCAGAGGUCUUCGAGCCGCAGGGCUUGAAGAGGAGAAGAGGCGCAAGGUUCUGCUGACGGGUGGACCCGCGGUGCAUUAGCUAGUGGGUGAGGUAACGGCUCACCAAGGCCGGGAGGCAUAGCCGAACUGAGAUGGUGAUCGGCCACAUUGGGACUGAGACACGGCCCAAACUCCUGCGGGAGGCACCAGUAGGGAAUCUUCCGCAAUGGACGCAAGUCUGACGGAGCAACGCCGCGUGAGUGAAGAAGGUUUUCGGAUCGUAAAACUCUGUUGUUAGAGAAGAACAAGUGCUAGCGUAACUGUUAGCGCCUUGACGGUAUCUAACCAGAAAGCCACGGCUAACUACGUG
Molecule: ribosomal RNA, 498 nt
Filed under: uncultured bacterium
Lineage: Bacteria
Description: partial 16S ribosomal RNA
Rfam family: Bacterial small subunit ribosomal RNA
Source: RNAcentral